AUGGUGACGAUCGUCAACACCACGGAGGACGAGCCGAUGCUGGCGGUGGUGCGCUCCACGGCGGAGCUCGCCUGGGCCGACGUGGGCGCCGAGGCGCAGCAGCACGUCCUCGCCGGCCGCUGGCUCGACAUGGCUGCCCUCAUGUUCGCCUCCGCCGACCUCCUCCUCCUCGCCACACGCCUCUCCGACAAAGGCACCUCCCCCCUCCCCCUCCCCUCUCCUUCCCCAUCCCUAUCAAUUUCUUAUCUCGAGUGCUCCCUCACCGUGAUCUGCAACCUCGUCACCAAGGCCGGAUCCGAGGACGAGGCGCUGGAGAUCGCCAGGCUCAUCUGCGCCAAGCUCACCCACCAGCCGGGUGAGAAGCCCACGCUGCGCAUCAAAGUCCUGUUCAGCCUGUACAACCUACUGCCGAGCCUCUCCGGCAAGGCCUUGGUCUACAGGAAGGCGCUCGAGCUCGCCGCCGCCGGGAAGACCGCCGACUGCGUCGUGCCCACCUUCAAGAACAUCGACGCCUUUGUCGCCUACUGGGGCAUCGGCAAGCCGGAGCAGAGGGACCUGUUCCUUGCCGUCACCAGGAUUCUUAAAGACCAGAAGGGCAUGACCAAGGAGUACUUCAAGUUUCUGAACAAGUACCUGGCUACAUUCGAUGGUUCGUCUGAUGAGGCCGACGCAAUUGGUGCAGCGAAGGAAGAAGCUGCUGCAGCAAUCAUUGAGUUUGUCAAGUCAUCUGACCUCUAUCAGCAAUCAAAUAUCACUAUAUUAGAUACUCCUCUUCUGGUAUCCUUUCCUUUUUGGUUAAUACUUAGUCUGGUAUGUAAUUUCAGCCGGCAUACUGCGAGGGUCUUCGGGAUGCCACAAUGGCAGAGUCUACGUUCAAAGCUUGGAGUGUGGAGGGGAAACAUUGCAAAUGCUAUCAACACGAUCCAAGCUAACAAGGUGACUGAAGAUGGCGGGCAGGGGAUGCAAGGAUUGAUGAUCCGCUGA
This 984-nucleotide ribosomal RNA is filed under the name Triticum aestivum (bread wheat). RNAcentral's name for it is "partial small subunit ribosomal RNA". The record is from RNAcentral. Lineage: Eukaryota; Viridiplantae; Streptophyta; Magnoliopsida; Poales; Poaceae.